Molecule: ribosomal RNA, 233 nt
Filed under: uncultured bacterium
Lineage: Bacteria
Description: partial 16S ribosomal RNA
Rfam family: Bacterial small subunit ribosomal RNA
Source: RNAcentral
CGGACGGGUGAGUAAUGUAUAGUUAAUCUGCCCUUUAGAGGGGGAUAACAGUUGGAAACGACUGCUAAUACCCCAUACUCCUUUUAUCUUAAUGAUAAUUGGGAAACGUUUUUUCGCUAAAGGAUGAGACUAUAUGGUAUCAGGUAGUUGGUGGGGUGAGAGCCUACCAAGCCUAUGACGCCUAGCUGGUCUGAGAGGAUGAUCAGCCACACUGGAACUGAGACACGGUCCAG